AUUGAACGCUGGCGGCAGGCCUAACACAUGCAAGUCGAGCGGAUGAAGGGAGCUUGCUCCUGGAUUCAGCGGCGGACGGGUGAGUAAUGCCUAGGAAUCUGCCUGGUAGUGGGGGAUAACGUCCGGAAACGGGCGCUAAUACCGCAUACGUCCUGAGGGAGAAAGUGGGGGAUCUUCGGACCUCACGCUAUCAGAUGAGCCUAGGUCGGAUUAGCUAGUUGGUGGGGUAAAGGCCUACCAAGGCGACGAUCCGUAACUGGUCUGAGAGGAUGAUCAGUCACACUGGAACUGAGACACGGUCCAGGCUCCUACGGGAGGCGGCAGUGGGGAAUAUUGGACAAUGGGCGAAAGCCUGAUCCAGCCAUGCCGCGUGUGUGAAGAAGGUCUUCGGAUUGUAAAGCACUUUAAGUUGGGAGGAAGGGCAGUAAGUUAAUACCUUGCUGUUUUGACGUUACCAACAGAAUAAGCACCGGCUAACUUCGUG
This 484-nucleotide ribosomal RNA is filed under the name uncultured bacterium. RNAcentral describes it as "partial 16S ribosomal RNA". It matches the Rfam family "Bacterial small subunit ribosomal RNA", at positions 30 to 507 of the family's 1533-position model. The record is from RNAcentral.